GUUGGCAGAACUGCAGUUUUAGAUAGUUAUAAUAGGGUCUUUUAGGAUACUUGCAAAUAAUGGGAAAGUCUGUAAUAUCCAGGUAGGUUGGAACAUAAGCAAUAAGGAAACAAAGUCCAGUAUAGAUAUAAAGCAGGUUCGAUGAAAUAAAUCAGUAUGCUUCAAGGUAGUAAGAGUAAAGCAGGUUUUCUUCAAUAAGAGCCAGGAGUUGAAGUCUUGUCAGG
Non-coding RNA from Pelobates cultripes (western spadefoot toad), 224 nucleotides. NCBI's taxonomy places the organism in Eukaryota, Metazoa, Chordata, Amphibia, Anura, Pelobatidae. The record is from the annotation of a GenBank genome assembly.